GCAGACCACGUUAGAACCUCGGCUCCUGGAGUAGCAGAACCUCGGCUUCAAUGGGACCCUCAUUUCAUAAAUGAAGAAACUGAGAUUCAAAGAGGGGAACUACCGAAGGUUACAGAGCGAGUUCGUGGGUAAGCAUGGCUUCCCAGAUGACCACCAAGGUGGAAGGGAUGAUGAUGUCCAGGCAGAAGGGAGCUAGGCCGGCCCAGGCUUUUCCUCUAGGCACAGCGGACUCCAGGUUCAGCCUUCCCGGAUGGUAAUGUUGCAUUCUGAAGAGCUACUUUCCCGCCAACUCAUCUCUGGACUUCUCUGGGGCCCAACUCUGGUUUCCUGCCUGCAGGAGGUCCCCUCUGACUUCCGACAGUAGAUGACCCUUCUGACUCACAGUUCUACUGCUGGGAAAUGCCUCCAGAGCUGCUGCCCACCCUCUCUGCAUCCCUCCAGGUCACUGGGUGUUGAGUCAGGGGAAGCAGGGAUACACACGGGCGGGAAACUCAGGUCUCCUAAAUGUCAGAGCCUCAGGACUUCGGCUACUCAGAAGUAGCUCCCUCCUGGGCCACCAGGGAGCAGCAGGGCAGCCAGCAUCCAGACAUCCCCCCUGGGUUCUGCUGCUCAGAGGCUAGAUGGAGAACCAAGGUGGGAAAAAGGCUUAAACCACAGCGUGGGGAGAUUUAGGUUAGAUGGGUCAGAGGAAGUUUAGGACAAGCCUUGCCCUUUUCAGUUUCUGUCCAGCUUCAGCACAGCCACUGCUUCCUCUCUUUGGUUUUUACCCAUCCCCCUCUCUCCCAUCACCUCUAUCCCCUUCCAGCUUUCCUUUCCUUCCCUCCUUCCCAAACCCCAGAGUUUCUCAGGAUUAGCUGCCCGUGUGCCUAUCUCCCCCACCCCCAUGCUUUCCUCACUGUCUCACAGAAACAGGCAAACACACACACAUGCAUACAACCAUGAGCUGGCCCUGAGAGUUCUCUGACUGGACUGGGGUUGGAGCCCCAGCUCUUGUCCUGAGCUGAGGCCCUUCCCCCAGGUAUCUUGGGGCUUCCAUCAUUUCUCUUGACAGGAGCUGUGGGCGUCUGGGCAGAUGGGAACCUGGGGGAGGUGUGGGGAGCCCUCUCUGAGGCAGGAAGCUCCCACGCUACUGUAGUUAAAAUAAUCCGGCAGCAACUUGGGGCAGCCAUCUGGGAUGCCCAGAUCUUCCAGGACACCCAGCUCUCAACAACAACCCUAUAGGAACAAAUCAAAAACCUAAGAGAUACUUAUAGGCCCUGGAAAUGUCUCCCAAAAGUGGCCUGAACUUGAGCCCUGUUUCCUUUUAUCUUCUUCAGGUUAGCACUGGGCAUUGGCAUUUGCAAAAAAACUCUAAGCAUUAAGCAAAACUUGUAGGAGUGGAAGAUACAGCGUUCUGGACCUCCAGUCCUAAUACCCAGCCACACCCCAGCAGCUAUGCAUGGUUCCAUGGGAGAGCAGGCAUAGCCCAUCCUGCUGGCAUAUAGUCCAGCCAUAUCUUCCAAUGCCCACCUGGAGACUAAGCCGAGUUCUGCCCAGCAACAGGAGCUCAGAGCUCCAGAGAGCCUCUCCUGGGGUGCAGACUCAGGAGAUCUUAGCUCAGGAGCAGACUUAGCCUGACUUCCUCUUUUAUAGGAGGAGACAGACUUAGUUACAGAGGAAACCAGAGUUGUUAUAAAUAGCAAGGAAGGGAGAAACCUGCUAUGGAUUACAAACACGCCAUCAAUCUUAAAACAAACUAUUUUUAGUUUCAAAUAAUAACGAGAGUCUAAUUAAUGCUCUGUAUAACUUCAAAUGUGGGAUCUUUAUCUGCCUUUCUACUUUGUGAUGCUUUCUAAUACAGUAUUAGGGCCAAAGGCAGGAAGAGAUGUGGGCAAUUCUCAAUGUUACCAAAUCCUAGAUAUGGAAAGAACCUGAGAAAUUUAGUCCAGCCCUUUCAUUUUCAGUGAAGAAACUCAGGCCCAGAGAGGUAAAAGGACUUGUCCAAAGUUGCAUAGUAAGGUAGGGACUGAGCAGUGACUAAAAGCCUAGUCCCUGUACUCCAGAAGCAGGACAGUUUCCACAGCAGCACAAUAGAACCCAAAGGCUAAACAUCUGUGGUUGGGCAGUUGGUGAGUUUAUAGCCUGGAUAAAAGUCAGGUCUAAGCCAGGUGUGGAGGCUCACGCCUGUAAUCCCAGCACUUUGGGAGGCUAAGGCAGGUGAAUCACUUGAGGCCAGGAGUUUGAGACCAACCUGGCCAACAUGGCAAAACCUCAUCUCUACUAAAAAGUACAAAAAUUAGCCAGAUGUGACGGCACAUGCCUGUAAUCCCAGCUACUCAGGAGGCUGAGGCACGAGAAUCGGUUGAACCCGGGAGGUGGAGAUUUCAGUGAGCCGAGAUCGCACUACUGCACUUCAACCUGGGGGACAAAGCAAGACUCUGUCUCAAAAAAAAAAAAAAAAAAAAAAAAAUUCUGAAUGAAAUAGCAAAAGACAGCCCAGAAGCUGAAGUGUGGUCUUCUGAGUCACCGAGUUUUGGGUUCACAUCCCAGCUCUGCAACUGACUAGCUUUGUAACCCUGGGCCUGUGUGUAACUACUCCAAGCAUCAGCUCCCACAUCUCAAAAUGAGAAUAAUCACACUCACUUCAUUACAGGACUAUUAUGAGGUUUAAAUGAGGUAACGUGGGUCAAGCAUCCAGCACAGUGCUCAGCAAAAAAUAGAUGUUAAUUUCCUUCCCAUUUCCCUCGGAUUCUCUACCCCUUCUUCAAUGGAUUCUUAUCCUCUAACUGGACAGAAGGGCAGAUUUGUCAUAAAGCAGUCACGUGAGGGAUAAGAAGUCUCACAUGAGUGUGAAUGAGGCUGGGGGUGGGGGCGUAGUUUAUGGCAAUGAAGUUUGCAUGGCACAAGUGGUCAGUGUCAGAUCCAGAGGGCGGGAGAAGACAGAUUUGCAGAAAAUUAUCCAUCCUCUGCUAACCACUCAGUGACGGGCCUCGGGGUUCAGGGUCAGUGUUUACAGGGGAGGAGGGAGGCUGGGCAUGCUGGGUCCUCAUUGUACACAAAUACCCCGGGCCUCAACCUCACCCAUGUGCCACACUGUGCCAAGGGUGUUACAUAACAUUUCUCUUUUAAUCCUCACAACAAUCUAUGAGGCAAAUACUGUUCUCGUCCCCAUUUUGCAGAAGAGGAAAUGAGCUCAAAGGUCACUUGGCUAGUGUAUAGUCAUUAGUGCUGUCUCCAAAUAUUUCCGGCUCUCUGCCUUCUGGCACAAGGUAGGACUGCAUGUUCUCACUCUUUGAUGCUAGCUGUGGACAUGUGACCAACUUUAACCAAUAAAACGUGGCGGAACUGAUGUGCGUCAGCUCUAGUGGAAGCAUUAAGACUCUGGCACCCUCACACCUAUGUUGUUCAUAGAGUGUAAAUGAGAAAUAAACUUUUAUUGUUAAACCACUGAA
This 3431-nucleotide long non-coding RNA is filed under the name Homo sapiens (human). RNAcentral describes it as "uncharacterized LOC101929305, transcript variant 5 (LOC101929305)". Lineage: Eukaryota; Metazoa; Chordata; Mammalia; Primates; Hominidae. The record is from RNAcentral.